This 102-nucleotide non-coding RNA is filed under the name Pteridomonas danica. The record is from RNAcentral. Lineage: Eukaryota; Dictyochophyceae; Pedinellales.
UUAUGUUUAUUCAAAUAGAUUUUCCAAUACAAAAUCCUCCUAUUGUUAAAAAAAAUCAAAAUCAAAAUAAUAAACAAUAUAAAAAUAAUCAGAAUAAUCAGA